RNAcentral lists this ribosomal RNA (427 nucleotides) under uncultured bacterium. RNAcentral describes it as "partial 16S ribosomal RNA". It matches the Rfam family "Bacterial small subunit ribosomal RNA", at positions 355 to 774 of the family's 1533-position model. The record is from RNAcentral.
UGGGGAAUAUUGGACAAUGGGCGAAAGCCUGAUCCAGCCAUGCCGCGUGUGUGAAGAAGGUCUUCGGAUUGUAAAGCACUUUAAGUUGGGAGGAAGGGCAUUAACCUAAUACGUUAGUGUUUUGACGUUACCGACAGAAUAAGCACCGGCUAACUCUGUGCCAGCAGCCGCGGUAAUACGGAGGGUGCAAGCGUUAAUCGGAAUUACUGGGCGUAAAGCGCGCGUAGGUGGUUUGUUAAGUUGGAUGUGAAAUCCCCGGGCUCAACCUGGGAACUGCAUUCAAAACUGACUGACUAGAGUAUGGUAGAGGGUGGUGGAAUUUCCUGUGUAGCGGUGAAAUGCGUAGAUAUAGGAAGGAACACCAGUGGCGAAGGCGACCACCUGGACUAAUACUGACACUGAGGUGCGAAAGCGUGGGGAGCAAACA